UGGGGCUGAGAGUUACGAACUUCUCCCUUCCCUUUA
This 36-nucleotide small RNA is filed under the name Archaeoglobus fulgidus. The record is from RNAcentral. Lineage: Archaea; Methanobacteriati; Methanobacteriota; Archaeoglobi; Archaeoglobales; Archaeoglobaceae.